Molecule: ribosomal RNA, 484 nt
Filed under: uncultured bacterium
Lineage: Bacteria
Description: partial 16S ribosomal RNA
Rfam family: Bacterial small subunit ribosomal RNA
Source: RNAcentral
GAUGAACGCUGGCGGCGUGCUUAACACAUGCAAGUCGAACGGAAAGGCGCGUUCCGGGCUACUCGAGUGUCGAACACGGGAGUAACACGUGAGUAACCUUCCCCUGACUUCGGGACUAGUUCAGCAAACGGGGGCUAAUACCGGAAAGGGAUCCUUGCUUGAAGGGGGGGGUUCGAAAGCUUCGGCGGUUUUGGAUGGACCCGCGGCUUAUCAGCUUGUUGGUGGGGUAACGGCUUACCAAGGCGUUGAUGCGUAGCCGGCGUGAGAGGGCGACCCGCCACACUGGGACUGAGACACGGCCCAGACUCCUACGGGAGGCAGAGGUGGGGAAUGGUGGAAGAUGGGGGGAAGCUUGAACAAUCGACGCCGCGUGGGUGAAGAAGGGCUUCGGGUGGUAAAACGGUGUUCUUGGGGAAGACCGCUUGUGGCAGGAGCGACGCUUGUGGUGACGGUACCUGAAGAAGAAGCACCGGCUAACUACGUG